RNAcentral lists this ribosomal RNA (254 nucleotides) under uncultured bacterium. RNAcentral describes it as "partial 16S ribosomal RNA". It matches the Rfam family "Bacterial small subunit ribosomal RNA", at positions 524 to 776 of the family's 1533-position model. The record is from RNAcentral.
UACGUAGGGGGCAAGCGUUGUCCGGAUUUAUUGGGCGUAAAGAGCGUGUAGGCGGCCAGGUAGGUCUGCUGUGAAAACUCGAGGCUUAACCUCGAGCUGUCGGCGGAAACCAUCUGGCUAGAGUCCGGAAGAGGAGAAUGGAAUUCCCGGUGUAGCGGUGGAAAUGCGCAGAUAUCGGGAAGAACACCCGUGGCGAAGGCGGUUCUCUGGGACGGUACUGACGCUGAGACGCGAAAGCGUGGGGAGCGAACAGG